AUUGAACGCUGGCGGCAGGCCUAACACAUGCAAGUCGAGCGGAUGAGUGGAGCUUGCUCCCUGAUUCAGCGGCGGACGGGUGAGUAAUGCCUAGGAAUCUGCCUGGUAGUGGGGGACAACGUUUCGAAAGGAACGCUAAUACCGCAUACGUCCUACGGGAGAAAGUGGGGGAUCUUCGGACCUCACGCUAUCAGAUGAGCCUAGGUCGGAUUAGCUAGUUGGUGAGGUAAAGGCUCACCAAGGCGACGAUCCGUAACUGGUCUGAGAGGAUGAUCAGUCACACUGGAACUGAGACACGGUCCAGACUCCUACGGGAGGCAGCAGUGGGGAAUAUUGGACAAUGGGCGAAAGCCUGAUCCAGCCAUGCCGCGUGUGUGAAGAAGGUCUUCGGAUUGUAAAGCACUUUAAGUUGGGAGGAAGGGAAGUAAGUUAAUACAUUGCUGUUUUGACGUUACCAACAGAAUAAGCACCGGCUAACUUCGUG
RNAcentral lists this ribosomal RNA (484 nucleotides) under uncultured bacterium. Its description in RNAcentral is "partial 16S ribosomal RNA". It matches the Rfam family "Bacterial small subunit ribosomal RNA", at positions 30 to 507 of the family's 1533-position model. The record is from RNAcentral.